This 96-nucleotide small nucleolar RNA is filed under the name Zostera marina. Its description in RNAcentral is "Small nucleolar RNA R30/Z108". It matches the Rfam family "Small nucleolar RNA R30/Z108". From Rfam's summary of the family: snoR30 is a C/D box small nucleolar RNA which acts as a methylation guide for 18S ribosomal RNA in plants. The record is from Rfam by way of RNAcentral. Lineage: Eukaryota; Viridiplantae; Streptophyta; Magnoliopsida; Alismatales; Zosteraceae.
AAAAUGCGCGAGGAUGAUAACAAGCUCCCUCUUCUGAGAUUUUUUUGCGGAUAAUUGUUGGCAGAAUCGAACCAUAAUUAAGCCUCGACUGAGCUC